Molecule: long non-coding RNA, 456 nt
Organism: Pieris napi
Lineage: Eukaryota; Metazoa; Arthropoda; Insecta; Lepidoptera; Pieridae
Exons: 2
Source: RefSeq, a predicted model, not a curated record
UAACAUUUCAAACACAUUUCUAUUUUCUUUACUUUUAUUUAAAACAAGAGGAGGAGGCGAGCUAUUCUAAGUAGAAUAAAACGAGCAACGUUUGGAUCGUAUCCCCAAUAUGCCGACGGUAGAAAGAAACAUCCCGUUGCCAAGAGUUACCGUGCUCUAUUUAUGAAACACACCGAAAUACAUUCGAGUACAUAAGUAGGACAAUUUAAUGAUCGAUACUAGUGAACUUGAAUGAUUUGAUCCAGUUCAUAUAAGUCCAGAUGAGAGAUGAAUAUAUUCCAUAAAAGUGCACCAGAACUGGCAUUGUAAUGUGUCUUUAGUGUAUUCGAAGAAUUGAACAAUGACUAUCAUUCUAGGAAAAUCAUGUUUUCCAAGCCAAGUUCACAACACAGCUAACUUACUUGUUUAUUUUAUGAACAAAUAUGUCAAAAUAAUAAUAAAUUUUAUUUUUGUGUA